UACGUAGGGGGCAAGCGUUGUCCGGAAUCAUUGGGCGUAAAGCGCGUGUAGGCGGUCCGAUAGGUUCGCUGUGAAAGUCGGGGGCUUAACCCUCGGAUGCCGGUGAAUACUGUCGGGCUUGAGUACGGAAGAGGCGAGUGGAAUUCCUGGUGUAGCGGUGAAAUGCGCAGAUAUCAGGAGGAACACCAAUUGCGAAGGCAGCUCGCUGGGACGUUACUGACGCUGAGACGCGAAAGCGUGGGGAGCAAACAGG
This 253-nucleotide ribosomal RNA is filed under the name uncultured bacterium. RNAcentral's name for it is "partial 16S ribosomal RNA". It matches the Rfam family "Bacterial small subunit ribosomal RNA", at positions 524 to 776 of the family's 1533-position model. The record is from RNAcentral.